UCUCCCCUCCAAAUGCUGAAAUGUCAAACUUUGAAAGCUAUCUCCACUUUGUGGGAGUGUCUGGACUUUGGCUGCCCUUGGCUGGCUGAGGAGUUUAUAAGGACAUGAGACGCCACUGUCCUCACAGAGUCCCAGAGGUGGGUUAUCUUAAGGAUUACCCUGAUGUGUGACGUGACAGAGCUGAGACUCACAGCAGCAAGUGACUGCGCAGCGUUACUCCGCUACGUAGCAGUGGAACUGUGACACGGCCUCCAGUGUUCUGCCCGUGCUUUAUUGCUCUUACUAAAAGAACCAAGGCCGCCACAGUGAUUAGAGACUUGUGAAUGAACGGGAAGACAAACUGAGAUGUUAGCAGAUGGCUGCACACCUGAGUUGCUGUGCUUUAACUAGAAACUCCUCGGACGGCUGGGAGAGAUGCCCUAACUCAGUUUCUGUCAGACCCAGAAGCUCGGAGCAGUAUGGAAAGUCUGAAGCUGCCUGAGCCAUAAAGAGAGUUCAAGGCCAAUCCGGUCUACACAGCAAGUAAACCACAGUGUCAGUGCCAGCCUAGGGAUUCUCUGACGGGGAAACCUCCAGUGGUCCAGAAAGCUCAACGGACAGUGUUUUGCCUGGCGGAGGGGCAGGCUCAGAGGUCACACUGCCUGGGAGGUGUGGCCAAUCACCAGAGAUGGAGUUUCCUUUCAAUAUAAGCAGAAAGAUCAUCUUCACAGCAUUGAGACCUAGGACUGAGGUGUGGCUUCGCUGAAGUUGUGGACAAAGAUUUAAAGACAGGUGAUAAAAUAUGUUUUCUCUUUUUUGACCUAGAGCUCACUGUUCAGUGUGGGUUUUGAUGUUUGUAUAGAGGAAUACGAUAUUUAAGACAAGCAGAAGCGAUGAAGGGACUGGCAAUGGGUUUUCAUCUUGAACAGGUCUGCGGUUGCAAGUGUGUGUUCUGCUGUGAUGAGCGGCGCUGUCUCAGCAAAGCACUGGUGUACUCCACAGGCCUGCAGCUCCUCAGUGUGGCCAACGGCCUGUGGGUGGAUAUUAUCUGGGCUCGGUGGUGUCCGUUCUAAAAUGGAUUCCAAAGUAAACUGUUUCUAGGAAUUAAUGUUAAUAAUCUUAGCAGGGAACACUGAUGUUGCCAUCAGUGUUCAUAAUUCAAGUGUAGAUCAAAGAAAAACAAAAGAACGUGGGCUGGGAGGGGAAUGGAGCAAACAUCGGCUGGUUCUAACUGGUAGAAGGCAAUCUGGAAGUCCCCGGGCUUUGGGGGGUUCUGGUGACUUGGAUGAGUGGUCGAGGAACCACCAAGGAAAUCCCUUAGACAAAACCUAGAGUUUAAAUAAUUCUGCCUAACUUUACUUAUUUUUAUAAACUCUCUUUUAUACUUUGUACAAAGUCAGCACGAGUUUUUGGCUCAGUUUCUCUAGUGUUUUCUAUGGAGGAAAUAAAAAUUAAAUCUAGCUGUUAAAAAUAAAUAGAACUGGGGAUGUAUCUCAGUUGGGAGAGUGCCUACACUCUAACGUGCCUGUACUCCUAAUGUGUGCAAACCCCUGGGUUCUACUCCACACUCAUGAGGAGCUGGGGGCGGUGGCACACGCCUGCAGUUCCAGCCCCUGAGGCGUUCAAGCGGGAGACUCAGAAGGGCAAGGGUACCUUUGGAUACAUUGUGAGUCCAACAGCCUGAGAUGCUAGAAAAAGCAGGAAAGCAGGCACUUGGGUGUCAAUUCACAGAGGCUCACACAUCAGCUGACACCCAUCCUGGCCCUAGAAGCCCGGCUGAGACAGAGGCUGUACACCCAGGUGUCUUUGGUUUUAAAGAAAGCCCCCGAUUCCUCCAGUUAUGAACUUAACAUCAUGACUCCAAAUGAGAACGACAGUUGUACCUGACGAGCACAGGCACUGACACUCUGUGUCUGUCCUGGAAAGAGGAUGAGGCCUGUACUGCUGUAGCCCUCACGCCCAGCAGUGUGAGACUUGUCACCAGAUUUUCUUUUCUUUUUUUUUUUUCUUUUUUCUUUUUUUUUUGGAGCUGGGGACCGAACCCAGGGCCUUGCGCUUGCUAGGCAAGCGCUCUACCACUGAGCUAAAUCCCCAACCCCGUCACCAGAUUUUCUUAUGAACAGUACAGAGGAAGGACAUUCUGGAGUUUGAAAAUGUUAAAUACCAAAUUUUAUACUGUUGAUUUUGAAAACCUCUAAUCUUUUUCAUGACACCCAGAAGCAAACAUCUGUAUUUGGCUCAACUUGUGUAUAUACGUGUAUAUGUCCACACGUGUGUUCAUGCAUAUGAUCAGAGGACCACCUCAGACAUUACUGUUUUGGCACUGUCUACCUUUUUUGAGACAAGGUGUCCUAUUAGCCUGAGGCUUGCGAAUUUGGCUGGGCUGGCCAGUCAGGAAGCCCCAGGGACCCACCACACCUGGCUUUAAGUGGGUGCUGGGGCUCCCAGGUUUGCAGAGCAAGCACUUUAUAUAAUGAGCCACCUCUAGCCCCUUGUUCUCUUUAACAUGCUUUUAUCAUGUAUUCUCUGCUUGUUUCUAGACUUGUUUAGUAAUGUACUUGGUGAACCGGAAACAUAGUCUUUAAUCUUUGGAAGUAUUAAAUGUAGUUGAUGGAAAUCUUUCAAAAAUUCCAAGUCUUUCAACCAAGCAUUACUUUUAACAGUUGUGAAUUCAGUAUUAGAUCUUGAGUGAUCAGGAGGCAGAAUAUGACUGUGUGCUUAUUUAUGUAUUUCAGUUAGAUCCCAGGGCUCGUGUGAUUUUUUUUUCCCCAGUGCUAUUCAUUCUGUAGUUUUAGAAUUAAAUUACUAUUCUAGUUUGUGUCUUCAUCUCCAAAUUUACAUUAUCGGUUUAAAAAAAAAAAAACAGAAUGGAGGGCUGGGGAGGAGGGAAGGAGAGAGAACAAAAAGACUAGAGCAAAAGGCCAAACCUAAUAAAGCAGGGAGAACAAUGUUGGGAGGAUAUUACAAUGCAUACAUCUUCUAGCUAAACCCAAGGCAGUUCCUCCAUGUAUGGUGAAAUGCCAUCUAAGGCCAUCCAUUUAGCUAAUGAUCUGCCCUGGUAAAGCGGCACUUAAAAACGUAUUUGUCAUCUGAACCUGGAGGAUAGCUUGCCUUUUAAGAGCUUCCUGUGCGCCUGGCACAGCUGCAUCUUCAAUGUGAAGUGUGCCACUGAGAUCUACCAAAACAGCUUUUAACACACGGCGUGCUGCCAUCCUUCAUUCCCUAGGAGAGAGCAAAUGAAAUUAAAAAUACAGUUUAACAAACAAUGGACAAUUAAAAACUGGUAAGCAAUCAAAAAUACCAUUCACAUCCAGGAAGAUAUUGCUUAGCCUUAAGCUGCUUCUCUUUUAGAAAAAAAUAUUUAAAAAAAUCAAAACCCAACAUUUAAUGCAUGAAACUUUUAUAAUGCUUAGGUUUUUAUCUAUUUUCUUUUUAAUCGAGUUAAACCUUGGAAAGAAUGUCAGAACGAGAUGCUACGACUUAUUCUGAGGUUCCUCAGAAUAACUCUGGUGAAUAAGACACGUUUUAUUUUUAAGUAGGAGAAUAAUGAAUACACAGAUAGGAGGAAGACUGCAUUAGAAAGGCCUUUGCAUCCUUGGUUGGGGACAAUUAAAACAUUCUAAUUGCCACUGCUACUUUCUGACCGGUACCUGUGGCCAACGAGCGCUCUGUAUUUUAGAGGUAACCUAUAAAUUCUUAUAGCCUACAAGUUGAAGGGAAAAUCAAGUUAUAUAAUAAAAAUAAGGUGUGUGUGUGUGUGUGUGUGUGUGUGUGUGUGUGUGUGUGUGUGUGUGUACUUCAUGUAUGCAAGGCAAGCAUGCUAUGGACUAAGCUGCACUUCUAGGUCCAUGCUGUAAAUUCUAAAGAUCAUAUCCUCACUUUUUUUUUUUUUUUUUUGGUUCUUUUUUUCGGAGCUGGGGAUCGAACCCAGGGCCUUGCGCUUCCUAGGCAAGCGCUCUACCACUGAGCUAAAUCCCCAGCCCCAUAUCCUCACUUUCUAAUGUGUGCAACUUUACUUUGCAAAAUUUCCCCUCAAAUACUUGUUAAAUACUUCGUUGUUUAAAUUACUUGACAAGGUCUUGUUAUGUACCAGACUAACCUUGAAUUCAUAAUCCCCCUGCCUCCCUAGAGCUGGGGUUAUAGCCCAGUGCUACCAUAUCUGACGUCUUUAAUCUUUAUUGUGAGUCAUGUCACAUGAGGCUAAAUUUGGUUUAUAGAUCAUUAGGAACGGGCGGGGGGACUAAGAAAAGGAAUGAGGUUUGAUUUAGUUGAGACUUAGGGUUUGUUUUGUUUUGAGACAGGAUCUCACUGUGUAGCCUCCCUGACCUGGAACCACUCUAUAGGCCAGGGUUUCCUCUGUAUUACAACAACACUCCUGCUUCCCUGCAUUAUAUGCAUUUGCCACCAUGCCUGGUGAUUUACAGGUUCUUUUUAAAUUAGGGAUUUAAUUUAUUAGUCAUUUUUCCCAUUUGUUUCUUCUCUUUACAAGUCGUCUUAGGGUCACUACAGCAACAUGACCAGAGAAACUAGAGGAGGACAAGGUUUAUUCAGCUUACACUUCCACAGCACCUGCUCGUCAGUGAAGGAAGUCAGGACAGGAAUUCACACAGGGUAGGAGCCUAGAGACAGGAGCUGAUGCAGAGGCCAUGGAGGGGGCUCUUUGUUCUGGGGAGCCUUUGGAUUCAGAUGUCCUUUCCAAGGUUUCCCUAACCACCAGUUUGACCCCAGGCUACCACAUGGGACACUGUCAUAUGUCUCUGGGAGAUGGGCAACACCGAGACUGAACCCGAUCUUCAGUCACUCCUGGGGUGUCUGCUACAAAAUUUUUCCAAAACACCUUUGUUCUAUGGCCUGGCCUCAAUAAAUGGCCAACAGAGAGCAUUCUAAAUGUUAAUAUCCUCCACGGUAUUAAAAUUUCUGCUGGUAUCUGGGCAAAUGGUCUGAACUCCCUUCUGUCCAGGUUUGUUGGGAACCAUACUCUCGUGCCUCCUCUGUAGCCAAUAUUCUAAAGUUCAGGUCCUACUAGCAAGGAUGGUCACUCCAGCAGACCCCUUGUCUUCAAGGACUCAGAUCCCAAACCAGGGUCCCCUCCCUUAACCGAGCCCCAUCCCCCCCUCCCCCCACUUCUUCCUUGGAUACACUCACCUGUUUUAGCUACAAUGGUCACUGCAAACCAGGCUGCUAAUCUAAUCCUCAGUUGUCUGUGAGUUGGAUCCUAAAUCCCAGAGCCCUGAUUCUUCAGCCUGCCAUGUCCUCCACAAGGCCCUGGCUCUUACAACACCCCUCCCCUCUUCCUUUCAGUUUGCCUGAGGUCCAGUAAAGCUCCAGCUGCCCCCCUCCUCCAGAUAAUCCUUUUCUCCUAGCCCAUUGGACAAAGCCACACUCACUCCCACAACAGAUCCGCCCACUUUGCACAGUCCAGCCUGGCCUGUUGGGGAGGCCUCAAUGCUCACGUACAGAACACAUCAGCCUCUCCAACACUCCUUAACAGGUCACUCUUGUCCCUCCAAACCCCACAGCUUCCUUAAGCCUAUGCCUGAGCCACAAUAGUAAUUUUUUUCCAACCCCGCCUCCCCCAAGAUCUGCCCCCUCUGCCAUCCUGGGUCUCUAAACUUGUUCCAAGUGCAUCACGUCAACAGUCCCACCUCCUCACUGACGUGGCUCCAGAAGAGCCUCUUCCUUUCAGCCCACAGUGCGGCCCCUCCCUUCCUAAAGCUAAAUUCUACACAGCUGAUAACCAAAUAAACUACAAUCUAUGACCUUGUGAUAACAGUUCCCUGGUCAAGGUCCUAAAAUCAAAAAAGUUUCCAUUUUCUAAGCUUAUUAAAUUAACCUUUUCCUGUCCAGUAAAGUUUAAACAUAAUAUUCAAGCACUUAUAGCCCAAAACCAAAUGUUUGUCUAUUUAGAUAUACUUUAGAUAAACAAUGGUCCUCAACCACUUCAAAAAUCUACAGAAUAUGGCACUUAAAAUGUUUAAUAAGAAAGCAUUUCAGAACAGAGACACACAGGCUCUUGACAGCACCCUGUAUCUCCUCCAAAGAUGGGCGUAGAAGAACCUCCACUUGAGCUUGCUUUAAAUGUGACAAAGACAGACAGACACUGGGCUGUACACUGCCCCUUGCCUUGACUGCUGACAGCACACUGACUAUGACAGGCAAGACACUGAAGUUGACUGACUAGCUUUGCCCUUCUUCAUAGUCUGGUUUCACAGAAAAGUCUGUCAAGAGUUUCUGGGCCUGAUGACCAAAAUGGAUGUCCCACUGACCGACCACAGAGGAUUCUCAACAAUUCUCAACCCGACAAUUCUCAACAGCAGCUGUGAAUGGAUGACUGACUACCCAGGUAGCCCAGUGUCUGUGCCAUUUUUAAACCUUGGAGGCUGCUUGCUCAGAUGAAAUUUAUCCUUCUCAGGACUCUAGUGGGUUUGAAGGUCAAUUUAAGGAUAAAAUCCAAGGCUUUAGUCGAGUUCUCAGUUCUCUUCAUAGGUAAAAAUCAGGUCUCAGGCCUCAAGCCUCCCUCUCCUAGAACUGCCACUACUAGGUCUAGACACAAUGUCCCUUGUUACUAGACUUUAAAAAACAACAAUCAAUAUAACUUUUUGAUAUUCUUGAAUCUAAAGGAGCUCGCUUUGCAAUGGCUAUGCCCAAGGGUCAGUCAUGUGUGUCUAGUGGUAAGUAGCUGUAUAAAAGGAGAUAAAAAGUUUAGGUAAGGUAUGAGGAUAUGAAAGCUUCCUGAGGGGCUGGGAAAGCAUUUUGAGGCUGGUAAAUGAUGUCAUGAAGGUUGGAGGAUGUGGAAAAAACUCGGAUGUGAUAGGAAAGUGAGUCAAGAAGUGAAAAGUGGGGUUGGGGAUUUAGCUCAGUGGUAGAGAGCUUGCCUAGCAAGUGCAAGGCCUUGGGUUCAGUCCUCAGCUCUGGAAAAAACAAAAACAAAAACAAACAAACAAAAAAAAAAACCAAGAAGUGAAAAGUGUUUCAGGUUCUUCCCUUGCUGACUGGUGAUGACUUACAUACAGUCUGUAGUCCAACUCCCAACAAUGGUCAGCAGCAGCUGUGAAUGAAGUCCAAGGAUCUAGCAGUGGCUCAGUCCCACAGGGCAGGCAGGCAGGUGAAAAAAGGAGACUAUUCUUUCUUCCAAUGUUCUUUUGUAAAUCUCCAGUAGAGGGUGUGUCCCAGAUUACAGGUGUGUACCACCACGCCUGGAUCUGGGACUUGCUUUGUCCCAGGUGACCUUGAACUCAGAGAUCUUGCCUUAAGCUCCUGGGAUUCAUAGUCACUUUGCUUCAGAUCUCCAUACCAAGAUCCAGGUCAGAAACUUGUAUCUCCCAGCCUCAAGAUCAGAUCAAAGGUGAGCCUUCCAAUUCUGGACUGUAGUUCACUCCAGAUAUAGUCAAGUUGACAACCAGGAAUAGCCACUACACAUGUCUAAAAUGUAUUUCUUUCUUUUAAAUCUUCGUAAGAUUCUUAUAAGCUUCAAAAGGCUUUACAAAACUAGAGGGCCCUUAACCUCUUCAUGACUUAUAAGGGUGACUUAUAAGGGUGUUUCUGGGAGAAAAUGCUACUAUUACAUCAAUGAGUCUGGCAUGGUGGAGACCUGGAUCAUGUCACUCCACAAAUUGUCUCCACCAAUACAACCAGGCCACAUCUUCAUUCCAUGCUUUCUAACAGUCUUAACUCUUCACAUGGCUAGUCCCGUUCAUAGCGUUUUUCUCUAAGCUUUGCCCUCUCCUCUUCCUCCAGGAGUAAAGUUUCCUAAGGAACAGUCAACCAAAUGCUCCUACACCCAUACCUCCUGAUGACCAGGACCCUACCUACUCCUACUCUCCCACUCCAUGCCGCCCCUCUUCAGAAGGAAGUAGUGAGAUCUGAAUUGGCAACCCUAUACCCAAAGAGGUCAGGAUGUUAGGCUGGAACCAUGGCUCAUCCCUUGCACUAUCUGGAAAGCCCUCCUUUCCCCAAACCCCCUUCCCCCCAACCCCGCUGGCAGAGAAAACUCCUGUUUGCUUUGAGAAAACUUGGGGCUAACGAGUCAUCACUCCUCAUCACUGUGUUUCCAGCAACCCACCCAAGAGUGCCUGCCUAGGGGCCCAGUUCUUGACCAUGUAUGGACAGCACCCCAGGUCCUAGUUGGCACCCCAUCACUCCUUACCUAAGCGCUAUAAAACCCCUUGCUUUAGUGUGGAUGCCUGACUUCACUGACCUCUACCUGUGAGAUCAGUGAACUCAACUGAGAGUUGCCUCCUUAUAAACCUGCCUUUAUCUACCUUUAAUCUGGUCUAAUCUGGCCUCUAUCUGCAUCUCAGAGGAAGAGAAAAUGCCUAUCGGUGUGUACGCUUAGCAAUUUCCCCAUCUUGACAGAUGUAUGUAGCUUACUAUAGGUAGAUCUGGACAUUCAUUUUUACUACUGUAUUCUAUUAUAUAAACGCACUAUAAUUAUGUUCUCCUGAGCAUAAGUAAUCGUAGUUUUACUGUUUUAUUGUACCACAAGCACACCUAUCCAGGAGUUUGUACGUCUCCUUGUGGAUACCUAUAAGCACUUCUGUGGAGUUUUGCUUGCGCCCUACCCUUAUAGGAUACUGUCAAGUUGCAAUCACGGUCAUCUUAUAUAGUCAGCAUACAAGAAUUUGUUGAGAAAAAUGCUGGAUGUGUAGUCCGGACUAGCUCCAGGGCUCAACAGCAUCCUCAGUUAUCUAUUGAAUUAUGAGGCCAGCCUGGGCUACAUGAUAGCCACCGCCCCAUCCCACCACCACCACCAAAAGGAAAAAAAAUGCAUUCUGCUUGUCUUUGCCAAAUAUCUAUUGGAAAAGAGUGCAGAGACCAAAACUAAGAAGAUAUUAAGAGCUGUAGAGAUGGCUCAAUAAAGACAGCUCUCGCACAGAACAGGGUUCAGUUCCCAGCACCCACAGGGCAGCCUAUUCCAAGUAACUCCAGUGCCAAGGGGAUAAGACAUUUUCUUCUGACCCUCUUGGCUCCUGCCUGCACACAGAUAUACUCAAGAACACACACAUGCACAUAAUUAAAAAAAAAAAGCUGCAGUCAAGUCUCAAGUGCAAAAUCAUCCCUUUUAUGAAUCUUCUUGAUAUUCUAUCCUGAUCCUUUGUGAACCAUAAAAUGAAGAUGUGUUUGAAAGACCCACCCCAUGAGUCUUAACUCAGAGUUGCAACAGGCUUGAACGAGCCCAGGCACGCCCAGAUACCUAGGGCCGAGUCACUGUGAAAACUAACAGACCAUAAAAGGAAAGGAAUGCAGAACAGACCAGGAGUACCACUCACAGGCCACCUGGCAGGAAGAGAUAAGCCCCCAGCCCCCCGACAUCCAGGACGCCCCAAACCUGCCAAUGUGUGUAGCUAUACCUUAUUACCUCAUCAUGUGAAAUAGCCAAUCAUAUGUGAACAUGUCUAUGUGCCUCGUUUGAAUCCACCAAUCCCCGUAACUAUGCAUCUGCUUCUGUACGCCCGCUUCUGCUUCCCCAAUCCCUAUAAAAGCCCCAUGCUGGAGCUGCUGGGUGCGCAAGUCCUCCGAAGAGACUGUGUGCCCGCAGGUACCUGUGUUUUCCAAUAAACCCUCUUGCUGAUUGCAUCCGAGUGGACUCGGCUCGGUCAUUGGGCGCUUGGGACUCCUCCUGAGGGAAAGGUCCUCUCUGGGGGUCUUUCAUUAUGGGGGCUCGUCCGGGAUUUGGAGACCCUCCGCCCAGAGAUCACCGACCAUCCACCGGGAGGUAAGCCGGCCGGCGUUUGUCUUGUCUGUUGUGUCUUGUCCUGUGUACGAUCGAUCAAUAGGCUCAGAUCUGGGGACUAUCUGGGCGGGCCAGAGAAGGAGCUGACGAGCUCGGACUUCUCCCCCGCAGCCCUGGAAGACGUUCCAAGGGUGGUUGGAGGAGAGGGAGAUCUGGAUCCGUGGCACCUCCGUCCGUUUUCGGAGGGAUCCGCACCCUUGAUGACUCCGUCUGAAUUUUAUUGGAGUAGAGGAUCCAAGACCCUCGCUGACUCCGUCUGAAUUUUUGGUUUCAGUUUGGUACCGAAGCUGCGCGGCGCGUCUGCUUGUUACUUGUUUGACUGUUGGAAUUGUUUGUCUUCUUUGUGACCUGACUGUGGUUUUCUGGACGUGUUGUGUCUGUUAGUGUCUUUUUGACUUUUGUUUCGUGUUUGAAUUUGGACUGACGACUGUGUUUAAAAUCUUGGACCGACGACUGUGUUUGAAAUCAUGAAACUGUUUGCUUUGUUCGUCGAAGAGUUUUACUUGGUCCCCUUAACGCUUAGUGAGUAAGAAACUUAAUUUUGUAGACCCCGCUCUAGUGGCAGUGUGUUGGUUGACAGCCAAAGUUAAUUUUUAAAACAUAGUGUUUUGGGGGUUGGGGAUUUAGCUCAGUGGUAGAGCUCUUGCCUAGCAAGCGCAAGGCCCUGGGUUCGGUCCCCAGCUCUGAAAAAAGGAAAGAAAAACAAAACAAAAACAUAUAGUGUUUUAUCUGUGCUUAUGCUCGCAGCCAGCUGUGAUGAACUGGGAAAGAUUUAAAUUUUCCUUGGGAGUAAGGAAUCUUAAAGGCGGAGUUUCAGCCGGUAUGGCACUUAGUGCAUAGCUGCCUAAAAGAUCAGAAAUGCUGUUAACAGGCUAUAAAAAAAGGACAGGCUGUGUUAGAAAUGCUACAGGAAGAAUGAUCUAAAAAGGCUGAGAGCUAAGUGGGGCUAUAAGGAAAACAAGAACAGGAAAGGAAUUUCUGACAUUUGCUCACAGUAGGAGAGCGCUCAUUUAGAGAAGUUCUUUAAGGAAGCCUGCCUUAUCUGCUGUCCUUAUUCCAAGGGAGGAGUCAGUCUCCAACAUUAAAUUACUUUUCUCACUGAUCAUCAUUAACAUGGAGAGUGCCUCUGGUCCUAUCCCCACAGCAGCCAGUUCCUGCCCCUAUGGUUAAAAUGCCCCAGGUUGGGGGACAAAAAGAGCCCCUAAAAUAGUUUCAAAGAAUCUACAACUGUGAAGAACUUUGUUUUGCCAGUCAGGAUUAAUGUUUUCUUUUCCAUGGGCCUAUAGCCCACUGAGACAGUUUGGUAAAGGGCUGUUACUAAAGUCCUGAAAGCCCCAGGUGAACUGGUUACAAUUCUUUUGUCAGCUGCUUAGUAUCUAGCACCCAGGUUCUAACCAUCUCUCCAUCCUUUUGUUAUUAGUUGUUACUAGAAGCCUAGUGUCAUUUGGAGGCUGGUUCUCUUGAGAGGCAAAGCCACCAAGCUGACACUGAAGGGAGGUAGGUACUCCUUAAGGGAAAAUCUAAGCCCAGAGAGACAGCCGGUAACAGCUAGGCUGCCUCUCUGCUCGCCUUUCUGUUUCAUAGACAAAGCUUGUGCUUAUAUUUACAGUGGCCUUUUUGUCCAAAAAAAGGCCUCCUGGUUUAGCUGUGUGACUAAAUGCUAUUUGUCCUCUUCAGUGGACCUCUCUCCUCUAGAUUCCCUUCUUGUUUUCUCACCAUCCCACGUGAGAUGCUUGUUAGUAACUGUUACAGAUCUUCUUUACCACUGAGGAAAGACAGAAUCCUGCUAGAGGCCAGAAAGAAUGUUCCAGACAUGGAUGGAAGGCUCCUGACUGUUGACUUCAAUGCCCCUGAAGGUAGGGAGUGCUCCAGGUCUGCCCCCAGGCUCCGAGGGUGGGUCUCCUAGGGGCUGGAAAAUGCCCCACCAAUCUGGCUAAGAUAAGGAAAGGAUAUGAAGAGAAAGUUACAGAAACUUGAAGGGUAAAGCUAAGUCACUGAGAGAGUUAUUGUAAGUUGCAGAGAAAAUAAGUUGAUGCGUGGUUCAGGGUCUGUGCAGAAAAGUGGACAGCACCUAAUAGCUGUAGAAGAAGAUGCAGAGAGACUGAAAAAAAAAAAAGAAAGAAAGAAAGAAAGAAAGAAAGAAAGAAAGACAGGAAGAAAGAGGAUAAAAAGAGCAGGAAGCUAGGGAAGAAAAGAGACAAAAAGAAGAGGAAAUUAGAGAGCUAAAGAGAGAUAAAAGACAAGAGAGGAACAUAUACUGGCCACAGUAGUUAGGGAACUUAGGAAGAUAGUACCUGGCAACAGAAGAGAAUUCCUGGCUAAAGAUCAGUGUGCCUAAUACGAAGAAAAAGGACAUUGGGUCAGGGACUGCCCCAGAAAGAACAAGAGGGGACACUGGAGAGCCUCUUGGUGCUGGCUAUGCACAGAGAUAGAAGGGAAGCCCGCCCAGUUGUUUUGUGGAUACAGGGACCCAAUGCUCUGUGCUCCUAUGCUCCAGUGGGCCAGUAUCCAAAGACCUUGGGUACAGGGGCCUGCUGGCAACAAACAAUACUUAUGGACUGCCCGAAGAACAGUGGACCUUGGCGUGGGCCGGGUAACCCACUAGUUCAUAGUCAUCCCUGACUGCCCCCAUCCCUUGCUCAUGAGAAAAUUGCUCCCCAAAAUGGCUUGCGUGGGCUGAAAUGGCUGGGUGAGGCCAUGUGUAUGCAUAUCUACAGACUGUGUAUGCGGAGCUUAAGACCUGUCUCAGUGCACCAGUACCUGAUGCUGGGAGAUGAAUGGCUUAGCGCUGUUCUACUUGGAACAUAUCACUCCUGCCAGCCGGGCACUAACAAUUAUCACCCAAUCCAGGACUUAAACUGUGAUAGACUGGCUGAUGUUUGCCUUUGAAUAGAGUGUCCCAAAAGAUGGGACCACUGGUCAGCUGCCAUGGACUAGAUUCUCCACCUGUUGGGGGCAAUCUGGUCACCUUGCUGCCCAAUCCGACCUGGAGCCACCACAGCACGAGUGUCAAGCACUGGCAGAAGCCCAUGGGUGGAGGAAAGACCUCUGCGACUGGCUGAUUGACCCCUGCUGAAAGCCGAGGCUACCUUGUCCACAGACGGGAACAGUUCUCUUCAUGAAGGUCAGAGAUAAGUGGGUGCUGCCAUGGUGGACAACACAAUGUCAUCUAGGAUGGCUGAACCUCAACCCCCCAGUACAUCAGUGCCGCAGAUGCCUUUGCCAUCUCUUGGAUGCCCUGAUGAAGCCAACAACUGUGAGUACUAUUCAUUGCUCAGGAUAUCAGGAGGGAAGAGAUUCAGUGACAUGGGGCAAUAACGAAGCAGAUCAAGUGGCUCGAAAAAUGGUUAUGCAGGAGCCCAUCCUGGUUGCAGGCCUGCAAGAGACAGCCACUGAGAACUAGGAUUGGACUAAGGGAUGGCCUCACUUAGAAAAGGCCCAAAUUGCUUAAAAGAUAAAGGACAAUGGCACACUUGAGGGGAAAGCUAUACUCCCCAGAGAACAAAGAAAAGACUCACUUUGCCAAAUACAGAAAUGGACUCAUUUAGGAGAUAAAAAGUUUGUCCAAGUAGUUAAGUGUAUGUAAUAGACUUUAAGAUUUUAGCCAGAGAGGCAGUAGAAAGUAUAAGGUAUGUCAAUAAGUGAAUGCUUAGCAAGCAAACAGGGCAAAGAGACCUAGAGAGUUUGGUGAAAAGUCGAAGUGAACUUCACUGAGAUAAAACCAGAAAAAUAUAAUCACAAGUAUCUCCUAGUGCUUGUAGAUACUUUUUCAGGAAUAGAUAGAAGCUUUCCUCACCAAACGAGAGACGGCCUCUGCAAUCAUCAAGAAGAUACUGGAAGAAAUCUUCCUCUUGGAAUGCCCAAGGUAAUCUGGUCAGACAACGGCCCUACUUUCAUUGCCAAGGUAAGCCAGGGUGUGGCCAAGUAUUUAGAGGUCGAUUGGAAAUUACAUUGUAUUUACAGACCUCAAAGUUCAGGACAGGUAGGGUAAAUAAAUAGAACUCUAAAAGAGACCCUGACCAAAUUAACCAUGGAGACUGGCGCAGACUGGGUGACACUCCUUCCCUCUUGCUCUCUUCAGAGCAAGAAAUACCCCUUCCAGAUUCAGCCUUACCCCCUUUGAGAUCUUAUAUGGGGCCUCAGCCCCACUGACUGUAUUAGAUGAUGUUACUGAACCAACAUGUCAUAGUGCCAUAGUAAUAAUGAUUUGUGUGCCAGGCUAAAAGACCUACAGGUGAUACAGAAAGAAAUCUGCUCAGAGCUGGCAGCAGCCUAUGCCCUGGGGACCCCUGAGACAUCUCACCAGUUCCAGGUCGGAGACUCGGCUACAUACGAUGGCACCGAACCCAGAUACUCACUGGAAAGGACCGUACCUGGUUCUGCUGACCACCCUGACAGCCAUCAACUCUCAACCCUCACCAGCCGUGUACUAGCUGUUGGGGCUGAGAGCUGGGACCUAGAGGGAAACUCAGAUCUUCAAAAAGCUCCCUAGACUUAAUUUCAUGUUUGCCCCGGGUUUUAUCAAGAUAGGUGUGGGGAUAGGCUUGAUUUCUAUUACAAAUGAUGUAACAUUGCAUAUGUUAGUACUCCUAACACUUCUUGGGACUGUGCCUCAGGGAUCACAAUCUGUAUAAGUUUAGAAGUUCUAAAAGCUAGUCAUGACCUUGGUGUGUAGGUUUAGAUAGUGUCCAGAUUGGAAUCCUGAUGCUAAAGAAUUAGUAAGAAGAAAAAAAAAGAGUUGAGAAUUACUUAAGGCUAUCUAGGUGCUGCAAGGGCAGCACAAGGACAUCUGCCAUUGCCCUGCAAUGCAAGGUUUAUAGAGAAUUCAGAACUGCCAUUGACUCAGAUAUAAAAAGAGUGAAAGACUUUUUAGCUGACCUCCAAGAAUACCUAACCUCCCUCUCAGAGGUAGUCCUUCAGAAUAGGAGAAGAUUAGACCUGAUAUUCCUUAAAGAAGGAACCUGUGUGCUACACUGAAAGAAUGUUGUUUCUAUGCAGACCAUACAGGAUUAGUGAGAGAUAACAUGGCUAAGCUCCGAGAACGCUUGGCCCAGAGACAGAAGCUGUUUGAUUCCCAACAAGGCUGGUUCGAGGGGUGGUUUAACCGAUCCCCUUGGUUUGCUACCCUGGUGUCCACCUUGAUGGGACCCUUAAUCAUCCUCCUCCUAAUCUUCCUCUUUGGCCCCUGCAUUCUAAACAGAUUGAUGCAGUUCAUAAAGAACAGACUCUCAGUCAUUCAGACGCUUGUUCUCACCCAACAAUACCAGAGGGUAAGACAACAGGAAGAGAUUCCUUAGAAUUCGAUUUGAGUAAAGGAUUUUACUCAAGUCUAAAAGAAAAUGGGGGAAAAUGAAAGACCCACCCCAUGAGUCUUAACUCAGAGUUGCAACAGGCUUGAACGAGCCCAGGCACGCCCAGAUACCUAGGGCCGAGUCACUGUGAAAACUAACAGACCAUAAAAGGAAAGGAAUGCAGAACAGACCAGGAGUACCACUCACAGGCCACCUGGCAGGAAGAGAUAAGCCCCCAGCCCCCCGACAUCCAGGACGCCCCAAACCUGCCAAUGUGUGUAGCUAUACCUUAUUACCUCAUCAUGUGAAAUAGCCAAUCAUAUGUGAACAUGUCUAUGUGCCUCGUUUGAAUCCACCAAUCCCCGUAACUAUGCAUCUGCUUCUGUACGCCCGCUUCUGCUUCCCCAAUCCCUAUAAAAGCCCCAUGCUGGAGCUGCUGGGUGCGCAAGUCCUCCGAAGAGACUGUGUGCCCGCAGGUACCUGUGUUUUCCAAUAAACCCUCUUGCUGAU
Rattus norvegicus (Norway rat) is the source of this 15513-nucleotide non-coding RNA. The record is from RefSeq and is a predicted model, not a curated record. Lineage: Eukaryota; Metazoa; Chordata; Mammalia; Rodentia; Muridae.